Molecule: ribosomal RNA, 301 nt
Filed under: uncultured bacterium
Lineage: Bacteria
Description: partial 16S ribosomal RNA
Rfam family: Bacterial small subunit ribosomal RNA
Source: RNAcentral
CAGUCGCCGCGGGAAUACGUAGGUGGCAAGCGUUGUCCGGAAUUAUUGGGCGUAAAGGGCUCGCAGGCGGUUUCUUAAGUCUGAUGUGAAAGCCCCCGGCUCAACCGGGGAGGGUCAUUGGAAACUGGGAAACUUGAGUGCAGAAGAGGAGAGUGGAAUUCCACGUGUAGCGGUGAAAUGCGUAGAGAUGUGGAGGAACACCAGUGGCGAAGGCGACUCUCUGGUCUGUAACUGACGCUGAGGAGCGAAAGCGUGGGGAGCGAACAGAAUUAGAUACCCCCGUAGUCCCUGUCUCUUAUAC